UUCCGCUUGAUCUGCCGGACCCGACUGCUAUCAGAGUGGGACUAAGCCAUGCGAGUCAACGCAGCAAUGCGUGGCAUACGGCUCAGUAACACGUAGUCAACAUGCCCAGGGGACGUGGAUAACCUCGGGAAACUGAGGAUAAACCGCGAUAGGCCAAGAUUUCUGGAAUGGAUCAUGGCUGAAAUCUAUAUGGCCCCUGGAUUGGACUGCGGCCGAUCAGGCUGUUGGUGAGGUAAUGGCCCACCAAACCUGUAACCGGUACGGGCUUUGAGAGAAGGAGCCCGGAGAUGGGCACUGAGACAAGGGCCCAGGCCCUAUGGGGCGCAGCAGGCGCGAAACCUCUGCAAUAGGCGAAAGCCUGACAGGGUUACUCUGAGUGAUGCCCGCUAAGGGUAUCUUUUGGCACCUCUAAAAAUGGUGCAGAAUAAGGGGUGGGCAAGUCUGGUGUCAGCCGCCGCGGUAAUACCAGCACCCCGAGUGGUCGGGACGAUUAUUGGGCCUAAAGCAUCCGUAGCUUGUCCUGCAAGUCUUCCGUUAAAUCCACCUGCUCAACAGAUGGGCUGCGGGAGAUACUACAGGGCUAGGAGGCGGGAGAGGCAAACGGUACUCAGUGGGUAGGGGUAAAAUCCUCUGAUCCACUGAAGACCACCAGUGGCGAAGGCGGUUUGCCAGAACGCGCUCGACGGUGAGGGAUGAAAGCUGGGGGAGCAAACCGGAUUAGAUACCCGGGUAGUCCCAGCUGUAAACGAUGCAGACUCGGUGAUGGGUUGGCUUCGGGCCAACCCAGUGCCGCAGGGAAGCCGUUAAGUCUGCCGCCUGGGGAGUACGGUCGCAAGACUGAAACUUAAAGGAAUUGGCGGGGGAGCACCACAAGGGGUGAAGCCUGCGGUUCAAUUGGAUUCAACGCCG
RNAcentral lists this ribosomal RNA (909 nucleotides) under uncultured soil archaeon. RNAcentral's name for it is "bacterial SSU rRNA". It matches the Rfam family "Archaeal small subunit ribosomal RNA", at positions 1 to 920 of the family's 1478-position model. The record is from RNAcentral.